UUCUCUCAUUUUUUUCUGUUUGAUUUCUUUGUUUUAUGUUUUGCAAAUCUCUUCUCUCGGUUUCUUGCUUGCUUCUUUUCGUGUCGACAAGAAGAGCAAUUGACGAAAGCUGUGAACAAUUAUUUCAAGGAAGGUCAUUUUGGCCAACCAUUGAUGCUUAUAUUGAGGUGAACAAAACCCGUAUUUUGUUUUAUUUUUCAAUUAAUGAUUUUAUUAGUUUUGUUUUGUUUUCUUUUAUACAUUAAUUGUUUUUCUUUUUCCUUUUUUUUUUUUUGUUUUGUCUAAAGGUGAUUACUUUAUGCCUUAAUUUUGCUGUGUUAUGAACGAAUCAUGCUUUUCCCAUCGCAGGCGCAAGUAUGAAUGCUUGAUGAUAUUUUUUCAAGUAAUUCUUUUUUUUUUUCUUAUAGAAAAUGGGUUUUUUUAACAUGUUUUUAUUUCUUGGUAUCGUUUGGUUAUUUGUUUCAUGCAGUGAUUGGUAGAAGAGGAUUGUUUGAGAGCUGUUCAGCUUGACCACAAUUCUGUCGAGGUAAUCUCCUUUAUUUUUUAUUUUGUUUUGCUGAUUUUUUUUAUUAAGAAUAAUGCGUAAUUAACAUGAAAACCCAUGUACCCAUGGAUGGCGUGAAAGAGUUUGGCGUUUCUUUGGGUUUUAACUAAAUGCUUUCUUUGUUGCUCAUGCUUUAUUUUUGUUGGCUUUUCUUUCUUUGUAGCUUAUGGUUUGUUUUUUUGGAUCUUAUUAUCUUAUUUAUUUAGGUUGUUGAGUUUUUUGUUGAUAGCUCACGGUUUUUUAUUUUUUAUUUUUUUUGCAUGUCCAUGCUUGUAAUAGUCAUGGAUUUUGUAAGUCCUUUUUGGUAAGGAGAUGUGGUUAGUGGAUUUGCAGUGGAGUGGAAGGAAAUUUAGAGGGCAGUGGGAGAAGGGGAGAGCCUUUGGUGUUUUGUUGGCUUAGAUUGUUUGAGUUGUUGAGUUUUCUGAUAGCAUCAACUGAGGUUGAAAUUUUUAAUUUUUUGUUUAGGGAUUGUACGUGGAAUGCAUGGUAAAAAUUAUAUGAAUAAAUAAUGAGUUUUUGUACAUAAAACUUUUUAAGGUUGAAAGAUACCAAGUCAAUAGAAGGUUCAGAAAAGAAAACAAAAGAUAAUAUUUAUAGUGGUUCGGUCUACUUGAUCUACAUUCACUAUCUUAAUUUUCUUAAUUAAAGAUUUUCAACACAAAUUCAUUAAAAUCAAUAAAAUUAACGGCUUCCACUACGCUUUUAUAAAGUGAGUUUUAAACUCAAGAUCUAAGCUUUCUUAAGCUUAGUAAACCCUUUAAAGUGCCUUGCACAUUCUAAUCAAUCAAGAAAUGAAGAAAAUAUAGAGUAUAAUUGAUCACCUCGCUGAUAUAAGAUGUACAGCUUCAAGCUUAAAUACUUUACAAAGAAUUGGAGUAAAAUACAAGUGUAAAAAGAAGAUUUUUGGUCUUUUAAGUGCAAAAUCACUAUUGGUAGUUUCUCUCUAUAAUUUUUGAUUGUUAGAGAGUUUUUAAAUAUUUAGGAGAUUGAUUCUAGGAAUUAGUGACAGUUUUUAAUCGUUACUAGCCGUUAUUUUGUCCUUUAACGACUCUUUUCAAAUAGGCAAAUAGUGUUCCGUUAACUAAUUACAGGCAAGCUUUACUAAAUUAUAGCUUAUAUGUCUUGCACAGUUUGGCUACGCUAUUCAUUGUGUUAACCGCUCAACCGAUUAAAGGAAACUUUAACUGAUUAGAACCUUUCUGUUUUUAUUUUUCUUUACACAACAGUCUUCUUUUAAUUUCUUAGCUCUCCUUUUAAUUAGUUGAGGCUUGAUUUCCUUCAACAUUAACUAAUUAAUAUCAACUUUAGCCAAUUAAAAUUUUUUGAAUUUGAAUUUCUUCAUUUUGGCUCCCUUUAACGAUUUUUUUUUUGUUACUUACGAACCAAAAUUGGCUCCCUUCAAUGGUUAACUUCAUUUUAAAUUUGGAUUUUGGCACUUCAAGGUUCAUUAAGUCUUGUGUUUUAACCGAUUAACCUUAUUUCUUAACCGAUUAGCACUCUUCUGUCUUUAGCUUCCAACACUUGCUUUAUCAAUUAAGCUUUGUGGUAACUAAUUAAGGUUUUUUUGUCUUUGCAUCUAGUAUCCUUUUUAAUCAGUUAAACCUUGUGCUAAUUGAUUAAGACUUCACUGCUUUGCUUUUUGUAUAACGCCUAGUUUUACCUUAACUAAUUAAGGCUUUACAUUAAUCAGUUAACAAUCUUCUGUUUUCAUUAAACCUUUUUUUCUUUUCUUCUUUAACUGAUUAACUCAUUUUCUUGAGUUACUUUCAAAUAACAAAUAUAUUAAGGAUUUUAAACUCUGUCCUGCACACUUAAAUAAAGUAAUCAAAUAUUAAUGAAUGUGAAUAUUUUGUUAUCACCAAAAAUAUAUUGAGGCAACAUAUUGUUUAUUAAUUAUUAACUAGAAAUAUUAUUUAGUUAAAUAUUAAUUACUUAUAUAUCUAUGUAUUAAUAAAUAAUACAAUAUAUUUAUUAAAAAAUUAUAAACAAAUCUAAUUUUAUUUUAUUCUUUAUAUAUAAUAUAUUGUUAAUUAAUUAUUAACUAGAUUUAUUAUUUUGUAAAAUACCAUUAAGGGGUUUAGGUGCAAAUGAAUUAUAACAGAUAGAAGAUAUGCACUAGCCAAAUACGACACUCCUGGCCUUAACGGCGGCUUUGGCCUUUUAUCUAUCGGUAUAAUUCAUAAGACUUAAGGAUUCAUCUUCACUGCUCAGCCUUUUGUAUUGAAGAACAGAAUUUUUUCUGUUGCACAAGAUCCAUUAACAAUGGUAAGUGCAGAGCAUAUUCGAAGGAUAUGAUCUUAUGACUGUACUGUAAAUAUUUUGCUAUAGUAUUUCUUAAAAAAAAAUAGAGAAUUUAGAAAGACAUGUUUAAGAUAAAAAGAGGUUUUGUUUUCUGAAAUCGAUCUUGUAUUUUACAUUGAAUCCCUUCAUAUUUAUAGACAAAGGGACAUAUAUAAGACAAACUAGUUGGAUAAGUAUGACAAACUUAUCCGAGACUUGGACUUUUAUAAUAUAUUUUGUUCUUGAAAAUUCCUGAAUAAGAAAUCUGCAAGAUGGUUCUUCUUCCCUUGGAUGUGUUUGGUGUCAAAGGAGUAUUUUGAAAACCAUUCUGCCCACCUUAACAACUGAGGAUGAGGGACUGUCUUUUGCUUGAACUUGAGCAUUUGGGAAAAUGAUGACAUAUCCAUUUCAACCAGAAAAUGGUGACCAAUGAGGCGAAAUUCAAAUUUUGUGAUGACUUUUUUAACUACAAGGAUUUUCUUGAAAGUGGAAUGAUAAUGUAAUUCUGAAUUUGAAAACUUUCCACUCUUGUAUGCACAAAGAUUUCUCUUAUCAUGCUUUUCUUCAAGAAGAACUACUCCCUAAUAUUUAUCACUGACAUCAGUUUGUAAAAUCUUUUUUCUAUCAAAAGGUAUUUGCAAUGGUUGUAAAUUUUGCACUUUUUUCUUGAGAUUUUGUAUUGCUCUUGUCUGGGCUAGUCCCUAUUCUGGAGGAUCUUUUUUAGGAAUCUUUCUCAAAGGAUUUGUGCAUAUUGAAAGUUUGGGGAUGAAAUCUCUAAGAUAGUUUACUAUUCCAAGAAACUGUUGAACUUGCUUUUUUGUGAUAUUUUGAUUUGAGAAUUUAAUAAUUCUUGUGAGAUAUGCGGGUUCAGCUUGUAUUUUCUUUGGAGAAUAUGCAUACCAAGAAAGUCUAUCUCUGACUUGAAUAUCUGCAUUUUUUGUUCUAAAAGCAUGACACCAUAUCGGAAGAUGAGUUCCGAGAAUCUUUGGAGGAGUUGAAUAUGAUUUUGUUCUAUUGGGCUGAACAGAAGAAUGCCAUCAAUGUAAAUGAGAGUUGAGUCAAGGAUGAGUUCAAAGAUUUUUAUCAUGGCCUUUUGAAAUAGUGAUGGUGCAGUUUUGAGCCUAAAGGGUAGAACAGUCCAUUGGUAGUGGUGAUUUGGUAUGCAAAAUCCUGUCUUAAGUUUGUCUCCAAGAUGGAUUCCUAAUUGCCAAAAUCCUACUUUCAAAUCAAACUUUGAGAAAAAUCUUGCUUGAGAAAGGUUGGAGAAUAUUGAAUUUCUGUUGGGUAGAGGAAACUUAUCAUCGAGCAGAAAAUGGUUGAGUGGUUGAUAGUUGAUCACUAGUCUUAAUUUGCCUCUUGUUUGCUCUGCUCUUUUGUUGACAUAAAAAGCUUGGCAUGCCCAUUGAGAAUUUGAUGGUUCAAUAUGCCCUUGAUGUAGCAAUUCCUUGCAUUCUUGUUGUGCUAAAUUUUGAUGUUCUGGAUUCAUACCUGAAUGGCUUGCCCUGGUAGGAUUGAUAUCGUUAUUAAGCUUGAAUGGAAGCUUAACAAAGAAUUCAAGAUUCUUCUAGAGUGGGUUUUCACUCUUAUGAAGAAAUUUUGAGUGUGAAUUAGCACAUGCCUUUUGCUUGAGAGUUUGAAUUAUCAGCUAGAUUUGGUCAUCUGGUUGCUAGAAAGAAUAAAUCCUGAGGAUUGGGAUAAAAAGUUUGAAGGAAUACUUGUAUCUGAUCCCAUUUGGAAGUAUUCUUAAGUGUUGACACUAAUGAUAGAUAUCAAAUCCAACAGCUAUGUCUUUUCCUGAUAGUUCAGAUCCUAAUACUUCGGUUAUGAAAGAACAUUGAGGGGAAAAAUUAGAUAGUGAUGGGUUUGUUGAUCAGAUGAGUUGUGAAGGUUUGGUCUAAGGCUAUUUUGAAGUGUCUAUCAAAAGGUAUCCAGAACUCUUCAGGUAAUAUUCUUGGAUUCAUCGUUGUUUCUACAACUCCAGUAUCAAAGAAGGCUAUUACUGGGAUAGGUUGGCUGUACUUGGUUAGAUAUAUGGAGGCUUGUAUAGAAGGUAUUGAGGUAUCAGAAAGGGUUUGAAAUUUUAAGAAAGGGGUGCUAGGUUGUGGUUGUAUCAUGAAAAAGUUUUCAGUGUCUGAAUCAAGAUAUUUUUCAGUGUCUGAGUCGAAAUUGAUUGUUUGAAAGGUAAACAAGGUUUUGUUUGAAGGUUCUUUUUCCAUGGAAAAGAUUGAUUCAAGAUUUUCUUCAUCCAAAUUGAUUCUAGUUUCUUGUUAAAUAGUUUGGAUAAUUUUUCAUUCUUCUUCUUGUUGGUAGGACAUUAUUUUACAAAAUGUCCUUGUUGAUUACAUAUGAAGCACUUUGUUGGUUUUGACUUUUUUCCUGGACAUCUUUUCCUGAGAUAUCUCCAUUUGAACCUAUUUCUUGGUUAUGCCUUUUUUAUUUUGAAUUUUCUAAAAUGCCUCUUCCUUUUUAUCUUGCAGUUGCAUUCUCGGGACUUUGGACAUUUUAUUUGCCAUUUUUUUCUUUCACAAGCUUUGUCCAAUUCUUUGUUUCCCUUGAGAUAAUCUUGGACCACCUUUCUUCGAUGGCAGAUGUCUUCAAGAGCAACAUGAAGUUCUUGUUGUAUUUCUCUAAGAGAGAGAGAGAAUGUCUUUUCUCUAUUGUUGUAAGGCUCUAGUGACUACUGUUUGAAUUGGAUCAGGUAAUGAAGAAAGAAAAGCUUGUUUCAAGCUUGCUGGGGCACCAAGAAUAUAAAAUAACUUUUGCAUCUUUUGGAAGUGUUUAUCGAGAUCUAUCUUUUUGAAAGAGUAGCAUUUUCUUUGGAAGAAUUCUUUCCUUUGUAAGGCUCUAAGAUCAUCAGGAUUUCCAAGAAAGUAUCUGUGAAGGAUUUGGAUUACCUGGCCAAAAUCUUGAAAUACCAAAAAUUGCAUCUGGUUUGCUUGAUUAAUAGUAUCUCACCAAUUUCUUAGGGUUCCAGUAAAUCUUGAAACAAAUUUCAUCCGAAUAGUGUAAUAACUAUUUUUUGAUAGCCUUUUAGUUUCAAGCCAAGAGUGGAACUCUUGAAACCUUUCUGCCCAUCGUGAUGGAGGAAUGUAAUCAAUUGUAAAUGUUAACUUUGAAACAGUAAGUGCUGCUGAGUUCUUGGGAACAUAAAUAUGUGAGACUUUUUCAUCUACAUCUAUUUCUUCAACUUUUACACCAGCUCUUGUUGUCAUGAAUUGUGAGGGAUUUUGAUAUUCCUCAGAAAUGUAAGAAAGUGUUGAUGAUUUUGCGUCUGAGGAUUCAUUUGAAUGACAUUCUGUGGUUUCAGAGGUUGUAGCAGAGGACAAAGUGUAGUGCUGUUGUAAGGCAGGUUUUGUGGAGAAAAUUUUUGAAACAGUGUUUUCAGUGUAUUUUUUGAGAAAAGAAGUGAGAGAAUUGUCCGUUUUCAUCAUCAUCGUCUUUGGGUCUGUUGUAGUAUUCUUGGCUAUUUCUAGUUUUUGGGGAAGUGGAUCAUUGCCAAUCAUCAAUCUCUUCCCUGGGGUUUUCUCAGAGAUAAUUUUUGAUUGAGCAGCAUCUUCUCGUUCCUUUUUACUUUUGUUCUUUUCUGCUUCUUGAGUCUUUUGUAAAGGUAAAAAAAAGUGACUUGUAUGGAUGGUGGUGGAAAAUCAAUUCUUGUGGCUGAUGGUUUUUUAGGUGAUGGUAGAGUUCUUGUAUUUAAUCCAAAUGGAUCAUUACGUUCUGGUGAUGGAAUUCUUUUGGUUUCUUAGAGGAGUUUUAUCUGAGAUCUAAGCUUUUGUAUUUUCAACUCCUUUUGUUCUUUGUAUAGUUAGAA
Molecule: long non-coding RNA, 6635 nt
Filed under: Theobroma cacao (cacao)
Lineage: Eukaryota; Viridiplantae; Streptophyta; Magnoliopsida; Malvales; Malvaceae
Description: long non-coding RNA (TCAC_LNC000261)
Source: RNAcentral